AUCGCUUCUCGGCCUUUUGGCUAAGAUCAAGUGUAGUAUAAUCCUAACAGCCAAUUAAAAAAAAAUCAAAUUUCCCAUCAAUU
This 83-nucleotide small nuclear RNA is filed under the name Varanus komodoensis (Komodo dragon). RNAcentral's name for it is "U2 spliceosomal RNA (ENSVKKG00000000341.1)". It matches the Rfam family "U2 spliceosomal RNA". From Rfam's summary of the family: U2 is a small nuclear RNA (snRNA) component of the spliceosome (involved in pre-mRNA splicing). Complementary binding between U2 snRNA (in an area lying towards the 5' end but 3' to hairpin I) and the branchpoint sequence (BPS) of the intron results the bulging out of an unpaired adenosine, on the BPS, which initiates a nucleophilic attack at the intronic 5' splice site, thus starting the first of two transesterification reactions that mediate splicing. Lineage: Eukaryota; Metazoa; Chordata; Lepidosauria; Squamata; Varanidae. The record is from Rfam by way of RNAcentral.